GACGAACGCUGGCGGCGUGCCUAAUACAUGCAAGUCGAACGAGAGCGACCGGUGCUUGCACUGGUCAAUCUAGUGGCGAACGGGUGAGUAACGCGUGGGUAACCUGCCCAUCAGAGGGGGAUAACAUCCGGAAACGGAUGCUAAAACCGCAUAGGUCUUCGAACCGCAUGGUUUGAAGAGGAAAAGAGGCGCAAGCUUCUGCUGAUGGAUGGACCCGCGGCGCAUUAGCUAGUUGGUGAGGUAACGGCUCACCAAGGCCGUGAUGCAUAGCCGACCUGAGAGGGUGAUCGGCCACAUUGGGACUGAGACACGGCCCAAACUCCUACGGGAGGCAGCAGUAGGGAAUCUUCCGCAAUGGACGCAAGUCUGACGGAGCAACGCCGCGUGAGUGAAGAAGGUUUUCGGAUCGUAAAACUCUGUUGUUAGAGAAGAACAAGUGCUAGAGUAACUGUUAGCGCCUUGACGGUAUCUAACCAGAAAGCCACGGCUAACUACGUG
RNAcentral lists this ribosomal RNA (498 nucleotides) under uncultured bacterium. Its description in RNAcentral is "partial 16S ribosomal RNA". It matches the Rfam family "Bacterial small subunit ribosomal RNA", at positions 28 to 507 of the family's 1533-position model. The record is from RNAcentral.